AGAGUUUGAUCCUGGCUCAGGAUGAACGCUGGCGGCGUGCUUAACACAUGCAAGUCGAACGAAGCACCUUGAUUUGAUUCUUCGGAUGAAGAUCUUGGUGACUGAGUGGCGGACGGGUGAGUAACGCGUGGGUAACCUGCCUCAUACAGGGGGAUAACAGUUAGAAAUGACUGCUAAUACCGCAUAAGACCACAGCACCGCAUGGUGCAGGGGUAAAAACUCCGGUGGUAUGAGAUGGACCCGCGUCUGAUUAGGCAGUUGGUGGGGUAACGGCCUACCAAGCCGACGAUCAGUAGCCGACCUGAGAGGGUGACCGGCCACAUUGGGACUGAGACACGGCCCAAACUCCUACGGGAGGCAGCAGUGGGGAAUAUUGCACAAUGGGGGAAACCCUGAUGCAGCGACGCCGCGUGAGCGAUGAAGUAUUUCGGUAUGUAAAGCUCUAUCAGCAGGGAAGAAAAUGACGGUACCUGACUAAGAAGCACCGGCUAAAUACGUGCCAGCAGCCGCGGUAAUACGUAUGGUGCAAGCGUUAUCCGGAUUUACUGGGUGUAAAGGGAGCGUAGACGGAGUGGCAAGUCUGAUGUGAAAACCCGGGGCUCAACCCCGGGACUGCAUUGGAAACUGUCAAUCUAGAGUACCGGAGAGGUAAGCGGAAUUCCUAGUGUAGCGGUGAAAUGCGUAGAUAUUAGGAGGAACACCAGUGGCGAAGGCGGCUUACUGGACGGUAACUGACGUUGAGGCUCGAAAGCGUGGGGAGCAAACAGGAUUAGAUACCCUGGUAGUCCCAGCCGUAAACGAUGGACGCUAGGUGUGGGGGGACGAUCCCCCCGUGCCGCAGCCAACGCAUUAAGCGUCCCGCCUGGGGAGUACGGCCGCAAGGCUAAAACUCAAAGGAAUUGACGGGGGCCCGCACAAGCAGCGGAGCAUGUGGCUUAAUUCGAAGCAACGCGAAGAACCUUACCAGGGCUUGACAUAUGGGUGAAGCGGGGGAGACCCCGUGGCCGAGAGGAGCCCAUACAGGUGGUGCAUGGCUGUCGUCAGCUCGUGUCGUGAGAUGUUGGGUUAAGUCCCGCAACGAGCGCAACCCCCGCCGCGUGUUGCCAUCGGGUGAUGCCGGGAACCCACGCGGGACCGCCGCCGUCAAGGCGGAGGAGAGCGGGGACGACGUCAAGUCAUCAUGCCCCUUAUGCCCUGGGCUGCACACGUGCUACAAUGGCCGGUACAGAGGGAUGCCACCCCGCGAGGGGGAGCGGAUCCCGGAAAGCCGGCCCCAGUUCGGAUUGGGGGCUGCAACCCGCCCCCAUGAAGUCGGAGUUGCUAGUAAUCGCGGAUCAGCAUGCCGCGGUGAAUGCGUUCCCGGGCCUUGCACUCACCGCCCGUCA
Molecule: ribosomal RNA, 1385 nt
Filed under: uncultured bacterium
Lineage: Bacteria
Description: bacterial SSU rRNA
Rfam family: Bacterial small subunit ribosomal RNA
Source: RNAcentral